AACGAACGCUGGCGGCAGGCCUAAAACAUGCAAGUCGAACGGGUGUAGCAAUACAUCAGUGGCGCACGGGUGAGUAACGCGUGGGAACGUGCCCUUCAGUACGGGACAACGUCGGGAAACUGACGCUAAUACCGUAUAAUAUCUCCGGAUCAAAGAUUUAUCGCUGAAGGAUCGGCCCGCGUCUGAUUAGUUUGUUGGUGAGGUAACGGCUCACCAAGACUACGAUCAGUAGCUGGUCUGAGAGGAUGAUCAGCCACACUGGGACUGAGACACGGCCCAGACUCCUACGGGAGGCAGCAGUUAGGAAUAUUGGGCAAUGGGGGAAACCCUGAUCCAGCCAUGCCGCGUGUGUGAUGAAGG
Molecule: ribosomal RNA, 360 nt
Filed under: uncultured bacterium
Lineage: Bacteria
Description: bacterial SSU rRNA
Rfam family: Bacterial small subunit ribosomal RNA
Source: RNAcentral